GCAUAUGGACAUUUUUCAAAAUAUAUAUAGUUUUUUUGUCAUACUAAAACCUUUAAUGAUGAUAUUCACACUCAGAUCAUACCUAUAGUGUCUCUACCUGCAUACCUACAUUAAGCACUAUAGUUUGGUGACUAGUGGCUCUUUCUGAUGGUUUUUUUUUUUUAAUUACAAUAAUUCAUAUUAAAUACAGGUUUUAAAAUGCUCCAUUUUUACAGAUGCUGCAAUUCACCUCCUGCUGAAUGAAUUUCAUAUACUCGAAAGAUUACGCAGUCCUUUGAGCUUGCGGAAAGCAUUCUGUUGAUAUCCACGACGCCAUUGAGUUUUUUAAUGUCAUUUUAUUGAUAUCUAUGAACUGCAAUAUCCUUGCUUUGGAUCUACAAAAAACUUUUGGGAUGUACAAUUCUAAGUGGACUUUCUUUUGUUGGCUGGAGCUUUUUAUUGGUCUACUGGUUUGGAAUACUGUUUCUUUAGGUUUAAAACAUACUUACUUUAUACCUUAGUUCUGUUUGUGUGUCUAAUUAAUAUUUGUAAUAUAAAAAAAUACAUAGCAA
Anthonomus grandis grandis is the source of this 551-nucleotide long non-coding RNA. RefSeq lists it as uncharacterized. NCBI's taxonomy places the organism in Eukaryota, Metazoa, Arthropoda, Insecta, Coleoptera, Curculionidae. The record is from RefSeq and is a predicted model, not a curated record. The transcript has 6 exons.